RNAcentral lists this ribosomal RNA (470 nucleotides) under uncultured bacterium. Its description in RNAcentral is "partial 16S ribosomal RNA". It matches the Rfam family "Bacterial small subunit ribosomal RNA", at positions 28 to 507 of the family's 1533-position model. The record is from RNAcentral.
GACGAACGCUGGCGGCGUGCUUAACACAUGCAAGUCGAACGGUGAACGCGGGAGCUUGCUCCCUCCUCAUCAGGCGCAAACGGGUGAAUAACACGUGUGCCAUCUGCCUCGAACUCUGGGAUCAUCGUUGAAAAGGACGUCUAAUCCCGUAUACGACCCGGGUGGAUGUCGUCGCCUCGUGAGAAUCACUGCGGUUGGGGAUGAGCUCGCGGCCUAUCAGCUUGUUGGUGGGGUAACGGCUCACCAAGGCUACGACGGGUAGCCGGCCUGAGAGGGUGACCGGCCACACUGGGACUGAGACACGGCCCAGACUCCUACGGGAGGCAGCAGUGGGGAAUAUUGCACAAUGGGCGGAAGCCUGAUGCAGCAACGCCGCGUGCGGGAUGACGGCCUUCGGGUUGUAAACCUCUUUCAGCAGGGAAGAAGCGAAAGUGACGGUAACUGGAGAAAAAGCACCGGCUAACUACGUG